Molecule: ribosomal RNA, 1458 nt
Filed under: uncultured organism
Description: SSU rRNA
Rfam family: Bacterial small subunit ribosomal RNA
Source: RNAcentral
CGGCAGGCCUAACACAUGCAAGUCGAACGGUAACAGGAAGAAGCUUGCUUCUUUGCUGACGAGUGGCGGACGGGUGAGUAAUGUCUGGGAAACUGCCUGAUGGAGGGGGAUAACUACUGGAAACGGUAGCUAAUACCGCAUAACGUCGCAAGACCAAAGAGGGGGACCUUCGGGCCUCUUGCCAUCGGAUGUGCCCAGAUGGGAUUAGCUUGUUGGUGGGGUAACGGCUCACCAAGGCGACGAUCCCUAGCUGGUCUGAGAGGAUGACCAGCCACACUGGAACUGAGACACGGUCCAGACUCCUACGGGAGGCAGCAGUGGGGAAUAUUGCACAAUGGGCGCAAGCCUGAUGCAGCCAUGCCGCGUGUAUGAAGAAGGCCUUCGGGUUGUAAAGUACUUUCAGCGGGGAGGAAGGGAGUAAAGUUAAUACCUUUGCUCAUUGACGUUACCCGCAGAAGAAGCACCGGCUAACUCCGUGCCAGCAGCCGCGGUAAUACGGAGGGUGCAAGCGUUAAUCGGAAUUACUGGGCGUAAAGCGCACGCAGGCGGUUUGUUAAGUCAGAUGUGAAAUCCCCGGGCUCAACCUGGGAACUGCAUCUGAUACUGGCAAGCUUGAGUCUCGUAGAGGGGGGUAGAAUUCCAGGUGUAGCGGUGAAAUGCGUAGAGAUCUGGAGGAAUACCGGUGGCGAAGGCGGCCCCCUGGACGAAGACUGACGCUCAGGUGCGAAAGCGUGGGGAGCAAACAGGAUUAGAUACCCUGGUAGUCCACGCCGUAAACGAUGUCGACUUGGAGGUUGUGCCCUUGAGGCGUGGCUUCCGGAGCUAACGCGUUAAGUCGACCGCCUGGGGAGUACGGCCGCAAGGUUAAAACUCAAAUGAAUUGACGGGGGCCCGCACAAGCGGUGGAGCAUGUGGUUUAAUUCGAUGCAACGCGAAGAACCUUACCUGGUCUUGACAUCCACAGAACUUUCCAGAGAUGGAUUGGUGCCUUCGGGAACUGUGAGACAGGUGCUGCAUGGCUGUCGUCAGCUCGUGUUGUGAAAUGUUGGGUUAAGUCCCGCAACGAGCGCAACCCUUAUCCUUUGUUGCCAGCGGUCCGGCCGGGAACUCAAAGGAGACUGCCAGUGAUAAACUGGAGGAAGGUGGGGAUGACGCCAAGUCAUCAUGGCCCUUACGACCAGGGCUACACACGUGCUACAAUGGCGCAUACAAAGAGAAGCGACCUCGCGAGAGCAAGCGGACCUCAUAAAGUGCGUCGUAGUCCGGAUUGGAGUCUGCAACUCGACUCCAUGAAGUCGGAAUCGCUAGUAAUCGUGGAUCAGAAUGCCACGGUGAAUACGUUCCCGGGCCUUGUACACACCGCCCGUCACACCAUGGGAGUGGGUUGCAAAAGAAGUAGGUAGCUUAACCUUCGGGAGGGCGCUUACCACUUUGUGAUUCAUGACUGGGGUGAAGUAA